UACGUAGGGUGCAAGCGUUGUCCGGAAUUAUUGGGCGUAAAGAGCUCGUAGGCGGUUUGUCGCGUCGACUGUGAAAACCUACAGCUUAACUGUGGGCUUGCAGUCGAUACGGGCAGACUUGAGUUCGGUAGGGGAGACUGGAAUUCCUGGUGUAGCGGUGAAAUGCGCAGAUAUCGGGAAGAACACCCGUGGCGAAGGCGGCUCUCUGGGACGGUACUGACGCUGAGACGCGAAAGCGUGGGGAGCGAACAGG
RNAcentral lists this ribosomal RNA (253 nucleotides) under uncultured bacterium. RNAcentral's name for it is "partial 16S ribosomal RNA". It matches the Rfam family "Bacterial small subunit ribosomal RNA", at positions 524 to 776 of the family's 1533-position model. The record is from RNAcentral.